GGGGGCGUUCUGGAUUCGACGGGGAUGGUAGAGCAUGAGAAGCGAGCCGGGGGGUUGCGGACCUCGUCAUCAACGCAAACGCCAUUAACUGGCAACAAACAACUUUCUCUCGCUGCUUAAUAACCAGUGAGGCUCUCCCACUGCAUCGGCCCGUGUGCCGUGGAUAGGGCUCAACUUUAACGGGCUACGCCGGAGGCUUCCGCCUGGAGCCAAAGGAAGAAGACCAAUCAGGCUAGGCUUUCGACUGGCGUGUCGUUUCGCAGGUCGUUUGCCGAAACAUUAUAAAGCGACUGCGCUCGGAGAUGCUCAUGUAUCGCUGUUUUCGGACGGGGGUUCGAAUCCCCCCGCCUCCACCA
Molecule: transfer-messenger RNA, 356 nt
Filed under: Brevibacillus gelatini
Lineage: Bacteria; Bacillati; Bacillota; Bacilli; Caryophanales; Paenibacillaceae
Description: Standard tmRNA
Rfam family: transfer-messenger RNA
About the family: Bacterial tmRNA, also known as 10Sa RNA or SsrA, is named for its dual tRNA and mRNA-like properties. Its role is to liberate the mRNA from a stalled ribosome.
Source: RNAcentral